Cyprinus carpio carpio is the source of this 649-nucleotide long non-coding RNA. Lineage: Eukaryota; Metazoa; Chordata; Actinopteri; Cypriniformes; Cyprinidae. The record is from Ensembl.
GCAGUGACCGAUGCUGUUCCGCAGGUCGAGGCGGUGCCCGAGGCUGUGCCCGAUGCCGAGGCUGUGCCCGAUGCCGAAGCGGUGCCCGAGGCUGUUCCGGAGGCCGAGGCGGUGCCCGAGAUGGUUCCGGAGGCCGAGGCGGUGGCCGAUGUUGUUCCGGAGGCCGAGGCGGUGGCCGAUGUUGUUCCAGAGACCGAGGCGGGGCCCGAUGCUGUUCCGGAGGCUGCUCCCAGGGCGGUGCCCGAGGUCGUGCCCGAGGUCGUUCCCGAGGCGGUGCCCGAACCCGAGGCCGUUCCCGAGGCGGUGCCCUUGUCCAAGGGCGUUCCCGAGGCGGUGUCCAAUGCCGUGACCUGGCCAUCGCCACAGUCUGCUCCUCACUGGCUCCCCGAAUGGCAGGUUCCGUUCGGGCCACUCAAAUGGCGAAUUCCUCCCUGGCCAUCUGCACAACGAGAAUGGACUGAUCCACCGUGGCCACCUGAACUGCCUGGUCCCUCGUGGUCCCCUGAACUUUCGGGUCCACCAUGGCCCCCUGAUCUGACCGAGCCACCUGGGCUGCCAGGGGAGCCAUCGCUGCCGGUCCCAGUUCCCCUACACGGGCCUGGCCCGCCAUCCCUCCCCCUGUUCUGCCUCCACCAGUCCACCUCCCUCC